RNAcentral lists this ribosomal RNA (748 nucleotides) under soil bacterium Slfm-S1P-M1LLLSSL-1. RNAcentral describes it as "bacterial SSU rRNA". It matches the Rfam family "Bacterial small subunit ribosomal RNA", at positions 99 to 841 of the family's 1533-position model. The record is from RNAcentral.
CGAACGGGUGAGUAAUACAUACGGAACGUGUCCUGGAGUGGGGGAUAGCCCGGCGAAAGCCGGAUUAAUACCGCAUACGCUCUACGGAGGAAAGGGGGGGAUCUUUCGGGACCUCUCGCUCAAGGGGCGGCCGAUGGCAGAUUAGCUAGUUGGUGGGGUAAAGGCCUACCAAGGCGACGAUCUGUAGCUGGUCUGAGAGGACGACCAGCCACACUGGGACUGAGACACGGCCCAGACUCCUACGGGAGGCAGCAGUGGGGAAUUUUGGACAAUGGGCGCAAGCCUGAUCCAGCAAUGCCGCGUGUGUGAAGAAGGCCUUCGGGUUGUAAAGCACUUUUGUCCGGAAAGAAAUCCCUUGCCCUAAUACGGCGGGGGGAUGACGGUACCGGAAGAAUAAGCACCGGCUAACUACGUGCCAGCAGCCGCGGUAAUACGUAGGGUGCAAGCGUUAAUCGGAAUUACUGGGCGUAAAGCGUGCGCAGGCGGUUCGCUAAGACAGAUGUGAAAUCCCCGGGCUUAACCUGGGAACUGCAUUUGUGACUGGCGGGCUAGAGUAUGGCAGAGGGGGGUAGAAUUCCACGUGUAGCAGUGAAAUGCGUAGAGAUGUGGAGGAAUACCGAUGGCGAAGGCAGCCCCCUGGGCCAAUACUGACGCUCAUGCACGAAAGCGUGGGGAGCAAACAGGAUUAAAUACCCUGGUAGUCCACGCCCUAAACGAUGUCAACUAGUUGUCGGGUCUUCAUUGACUU